Molecule: ribosomal RNA, 457 nt
Filed under: Paenibacillus illinoisensis
Lineage: Bacteria; Bacillati; Bacillota; Bacilli; Caryophanales; Paenibacillaceae
Description: bacterial SSU rRNA
Source: RNAcentral
UGCCAGUAGGGAAUCUUCCGCAAUGGGCGAAAGCCUGACGGAGCAAUGCCGCGUGAGUGAUGAAGGUUUUCGGAUCGUAAAGCUCUGUUGCCAGGGAAGAACGUCCUUGAGAGUAACUGCUCAAGGAGUGACGGUACCUGAGAAGAAAGCCCCGGCUAACUACGUGCCAGCAGCCGCGGUAAUACGUAGGGGGCAAGCGUUGUCCGGAAUUAUUGGGCGUAAAGCGCGCGCAGGCGGUCAUUUAAGUCUGGUGUUUAAUCCCGGGGCUCAACCCCGGAUCGCACUGGAAACUGGAUGACUUGAGUGCAGAAGAGGAGAGUGGAAUUCCACGUGUAGCGGUGAAAUGCGUAGAGAUGUGGAGGAACACCAGUGGCGAAGGCGACUCUCUGGGCUGUAACUGACGCUGAGGCGCGAAAGCGUGGGGAGCAAACAGGAUUAGAUACCCCCGGGKARUCAA